AACGAACGCUGGCGGCAUGCCUAACACAUGCCAGUCGAACGAGACCUUCGGGUCUUGUGGCGCAUGGGUGCGUAACGCGUGGGAACCUGCCCUUAGGUUCGGAAUAACUCCCCGAAAGGGGUGCUAAUACCGGACAAUGUCUUCGGACCAAAGAUUUAUCGCCUUUGGAUGGGCCCGCGUUGGAUUAGCUAGUUGGUAGGGUAAAAGCUUAACAAGGCGACGAUCCAUAGCUGGUCUGAGAGGAUGAUCAGCCACACUGGGACUGAGACACGGCCCAGACUCCUACGGGAGGCAGCAGUGGGGAAUAUUGGACAAUGGGCGGAGGCCUGAUGCAGCAAUGCCGCGUGAGUGAUGAAGGCCUUAGGGUUGUAAAGCUCUUUUACCCGUGAUGAUAAUGACGGUACCGGGAGAAUAAGCUCCGGCUAACUCCGUG
RNAcentral lists this ribosomal RNA (433 nucleotides) under uncultured bacterium. Its description in RNAcentral is "partial 16S ribosomal RNA". It matches the Rfam family "Bacterial small subunit ribosomal RNA", at positions 29 to 507 of the family's 1533-position model. The record is from RNAcentral.